GUAGGGUGCUUGGUUGAUGUAUGAAUUGAUGUGAGAUCCACGAUAUGGUUUUGGUUUGCUUCAUGUUACAGAACUGCUUUGUUUGACUUUAAUUUGAAACAGUUUAGUAUGCCAACAGGGUGCAGCCCAAUUGUGGAUUUUGCAUUUUGCUUUGCGGUUUACCGGCUUGGAAUUGUGGCUAUUGUUUGGCUCGGCUGUUUGGCGUUUUGGACUCACUUUUA
RNAcentral lists this long non-coding RNA (221 nucleotides) under Lathyrus oleraceus (garden pea). Its description in RNAcentral is "Pisum sativum (pea) long non-coding RNA (PSAT_LNC018034)". Lineage: Eukaryota; Viridiplantae; Streptophyta; Magnoliopsida; Fabales; Fabaceae. The record is from RNAcentral.